Molecule: ribosomal RNA, 946 nt
Filed under: uncultured bacterium
Lineage: Bacteria
Description: bacterial SSU rRNA
Rfam family: Bacterial small subunit ribosomal RNA
Source: RNAcentral
UUGAUCCUGGCUCAGGAUGAACGCUGGCGGCAUGCCUAAGACAUGCAAGUCGAACGAGGUGGCCCAAAGAAGAUUGAGUGCUUGCACAAGAUUGGACUUGGAUUACCACCUAGUGGCGGACGGGUGAGUAACACGUAGGUGACCUACCUUUGAGUUUGGGAUAACUAUUAGAAAUGAUAGCUAAUACCGAAUUAAAUGCAGAUUCGUUUCUGCAUUAAAAGGAGCCUUUAAAGCUUCGCUUAAAGAUGGGCCUGCGGCGUAUUAGCUAGUUGGUGAGGUAAUGGCUUACCAAGGCGACGAUGCGUAGCCGAACUGAGAGGUUGAUCGGCCACAUUGGGACUGAGACACGGCCCAAACUCCUACGGGAGACAGCAGUUAGGAAUAUUCGUCAAUGGGGGAAACCCUGAACGAGCAAUGCCGCGUGAACGAUGAAGGCCCUAUGGGUUGUAAAGUUCUGUUGCAUGGGACGAACGAUUAGGAUAGGAAAUGAUCUUAAUGUGACGGUACCAUGCCAGAAAGCUCCGGCUAACUACGUGCCAGCAGCCGCGGUAAUACGUAGGGAGCAAGCGUUAUCCGGAUUUAUUGGGCGUAAAGGGUGCGUAGGCGGUUUGUUAAGUAUGAGAUUAAAGCCCGAGGCUUAACCUCGGUUCGUUUCAUAAACUGGCAGGCUUGAGUGUGGCAGAGGUAAACGGAAUUUCUAGUGUAGCGGUUAAAUGCGUAGAUAUUAGAAGGAACACCAGUGGCGAAGGCGGUUUACUGGGCCAUAACUGACGCUGAGGCACGAAAGCGUGGGGAGCAAAUAGGAUUAGAUACCCUAGUAGUCCACGCCGUAAACGAUGAGUACUAAGUGUUGGGGCAACCCAGUGCUGAAGUUAACACAUUAAGUACUCCGCCUGAGUAGUACGGUCGCAAGGCUGAAACUCAAAUGAAUUGACGGAAGGGCGAA